Oncorhynchus gorbuscha (pink salmon) is the source of this 1326-nucleotide long non-coding RNA. RefSeq lists it as uncharacterized. The transcript is spliced from 3 exons. The record is from RefSeq and is a predicted model, not a curated record. Lineage: Eukaryota; Metazoa; Chordata; Actinopteri; Salmoniformes; Salmonidae.
CUUUGUCAUUAUGGAGUAUUGUGUGUAGAUUAAUGAGGAAAAAAAAAUAUUUCAUCCAUUUUAGAAUAAGGCUUUAACGUAACAAAAUGUGGAAAAAGUCAAGGAGUCUGAAUAGUUUCCGAAUGUUGUCAAAUCUGUCAGUGGCUUGUCAACUCCGUCACUGAUGGCUAACACCCUUAAGAUCAAUUUUCUUGUCAAUAUUCUGAAAAAAUUAUUGAAUUACUGUUCUGCAACAUAUGCGUAAACUAUUGAAGGAUUUUCUGUGCUCAGCUUGAGGGAUAAUGUUUGCUUUAAAUAAAUAAAUAAAUAAAUGUUGUUUUAUGUUUUAAAUCUAGAAAAACAUGCCAGAAUGCUAACAUAAUUAGCCAUGGAGCAUUUAAUAGUGCUAUUAAAGAAAACACAAAGACGUUUGGACAUGUGUAUUACAUAUUGAAUAAUCUAAUGUUAGAAUUAAACAAUCAAGGCCUUUAAACAUUUGUUGGACAAUAAUUAUAAAAAAUAAAUGCUUUUUAUGGUGUCUGACGGAGUUGACAUAAGUCCAUUUUAAGGUAUUAUUUUUUCGCUUUAUUCAACCCACCCUCCCUUCAUCCACACAAUAUUUAAUGACCCUAAACCCAUCCGCGGACUGCAGGUUAUGAGUCAACCUCACUAGCAUGUAAUUCAAACUUGUAGUGUAUUUGAGGUUUAAAAAGGCUUCUAAAGUUUGUCAUUUCCACUUUAAAAUGUCAAACUUGAUUUGCCCUAAUGAAAAAUGUAUCAACCCCUACAAAUGUAUUCAAUUAUAAUCCACAUAGUAAUUCACAUUUCUGUUGCUGUAGGAUUAUUUUCCUGCUGUAGCAAACUGCUCAAAUGAAGACCCUACAUCUGUAGAAACAUACGUGUUUCACUGCACCUGUAAAAACAUCUACUGGACACCCCUAUCCCGCCCAGGCGGAGGCGCACAUAGUUCCACACCUUGAUGCUCCCACGUCGGAUCUUCUGGCCCACAGCCAGCUCCAGGAAGAAGAGUGGGAUGCCGAUGAGGAUGAUGAAGUAUGGGACGAGGUUUAUGAUGCCCCCUUUCCCCCAAUACCUUUCCCCCUUCUCUCUCCACUCUACAAAAAUGGACUUAUGAAAAUCUAUUGUUACCAGAGAGAGAGACUUUGCAAUACAGUAACAUCAAAAGGUUGGGUAUGGAACAAUAUUUCUGUAAUCCAACCAGUUGAAAGUAUCUGUUGGUACUUAAAACAUUAAUAUUAAAAGAAUAUUUGUCACUUGUCAUUUGUCAUUUGUUCUGACCUUUAUUUCCUUUGUUUUGUCUUUAUUUAGUAUGGUCAGGGCGUGAGU